RNAcentral lists this ribosomal RNA (253 nucleotides) under uncultured bacterium. RNAcentral's name for it is "partial 16S ribosomal RNA". It matches the Rfam family "Bacterial small subunit ribosomal RNA", at positions 524 to 776 of the family's 1533-position model. The record is from RNAcentral.
UACGUAGGCAGCGAGCGUUGUUCGGAAUUACUGGGCGUAAAGGGUGUGUAGGUGGUGUCGUAAGUUUGGUGUGAAAUCUCCCGGCUUAACUGGGAGGGUGCGCCGAAGACUGCGAUGCUAGAGUAUGGGAGAGGUAAGCGGAAUUCCUGGUGUAGCGGUGAAAUGCGUAGAUAUCAGGAGGAACACCUGUGGUGUAGACGGCUUACUGGACCAUCACUGACACUGAAACACGAAAGCGUGGGUAGCAAACAGG